CAUUUACUAUGUGCCAGUCAUUGUACUUAAUCAUCAUAAUUAUUUUCUCCAUCUAGGUGAUGCAGUAACUGAAUUAAUGGCCCUGGAGUAAGCAAGGCCUGAGUUUAAAUUUGAAUGUAGACACCCUGGAACUCGGGGAAAGUCAUUUUUGCCUCAGUUCCCUCCACCAUAAAAUGGGGAUAAUAAUAGCACCCCAAGGUUGACAUGAAGAUCAACUGAGCCAAUAUUUGUAAAUCAUUUAGUAUAGUCAGUACCUAAUAUGUAGCUGUACUUUAUAAAUAUUCCCUUCCCCAUUCUACAGGUAGAGAAACAAGUUUUUUGGUAUGUGUUUUUAAACCCUUACCUUCUGUCUUAGAAUCAAUAUUGUAUAUUGGUUCCAAGGCAGAGGAGUGGUAAGGGCUAGGCAAUGGGGGUUAAGUGACUUGCCCAGGGUCACACAGCUGGGAAGUAUCAGAGGUCAGAUUUGAAUCCAGGACCUCCCUUAUCUACGCCUUGCUCUCAAUCCACUGAGCCACCCAAAGUGAAGUUUUAAGUGACUUGUUCAGGGUCACAAAGCUAGGAAGUAGCUGAGGCCACAUUUGAUUGCAGCAGCCAUGAAGAGAAACUGAGAGAAGAGUUAAUGUACAAGUGUUUCCUCCUCUUAGAGAGCAAAUGACAAUCAACAAAACAGCAAAUCAAGCCUGAGAUCAUGUUUGCUGAUUCCCAAGGUAUAAUGCUCAUGCUGAAAAUUUAACAAUCCUCCAAACAGGAUGGAACUGGCUCCAACUCAUUGCUGCUGCAUGAUAAUGAUCUUUGGACUGGAAAGGACAGAACAAAAUGACUAA
This 824-nucleotide long non-coding RNA is filed under the name Monodelphis domestica (gray short-tailed opossum). Its description in RNAcentral is "lncRNA (ENSMODG00000048540.1)". Lineage: Eukaryota; Metazoa; Chordata; Mammalia; Didelphimorphia; Didelphidae. The record is from RNAcentral.